UAGGGAAUCUUGGACAAUGGGCGCAAGCCUGAUCCAGCCAUGCCGCGUGAGUGAUGAAGGUCUUCGGACUGUAAAGCUCUUUUCUCGGGGAAGAACAGCCGGGGGAGGCAAUGCCUUCGGUGUGACGGUACCCGAGGAAUAAGCAACGGCUAACUCCGUGCCAGCAGCCGCGGUAAUACGGAGGUUGCAAGCGUUGUUCGGAAUGACUGGGCGUAAAGGGAGCGCAGGCGGCUUUUUAAGUCCGGAGUGAAAGCCCGGGGCUCAACCCCGGCGGGUCUUCGGAUACUGGGAAGCUCGAGUACGGAAGAGGAGAGUGGAAUUCCAGGUGUAGCGGUGAAAUGCGUAGAUAUCUGGAGGAACACCGGUGGCGAAAGCGGCUCUCUGGUCCGAUACUGACGCUCAGGCUCGAAAGCGUGGGGAGCAAACGGG
Molecule: ribosomal RNA, 429 nt
Filed under: uncultured bacterium
Lineage: Bacteria
Description: bacterial SSU rRNA
Rfam family: Bacterial small subunit ribosomal RNA
Source: RNAcentral